UUCGAGUCCAGACUUGCAGCAUGUGGAUUAUAAUCUAAUUCUAUCCGCCUGUAAGACGUUCUAUGAGAUGCUGCGUAGGACGUAUCGACAUCGCCAACGUGAACUUCCAGCUCAGGCGGCCGACGUGAAGAGCUCAGCAUGGAGUUGACAGAGGAAGGAGAGGUUGUUGGAUGCAAGACAGAGUGUACAGACAGCUGAGGAAGUGGACUUCUGGAGGGGCGGCA
This is a long non-coding RNA of Myripristis murdjan (pinecone soldierfish), 224 nucleotides long. RefSeq lists it as uncharacterized. NCBI's taxonomy places the organism in Eukaryota, Metazoa, Chordata, Actinopteri, Holocentriformes, Holocentridae. The transcript is spliced from 3 exons. The record is from RefSeq and is a predicted model, not a curated record.